This 452-nucleotide ribosomal RNA is filed under the name uncultured bacterium. RNAcentral's name for it is "bacterial SSU rRNA". It matches the Rfam family "Bacterial small subunit ribosomal RNA", at positions 1 to 507 of the family's 1533-position model. The record is from RNAcentral.
GACGAGUUUGAUCAUGGCUCAGAACGAACGCUGGCGGCAUGCCUAACACAUGCAAGUCGAACGAGACUUCGGUCUAGUGGCGGACGGGUGAGUAACGCGUAGGAACCUGCCAAGCAGUGGGGAAUAACAGCUGGAAACGGCUGCUAAUACCGCAUACGCUUUUCGGGGAAAGAUUUAUCGCUGUUUGAGGGUCCUGCGUUCGAUUAGCUAGUUGGUGAGGUAACGGCCCACCAAGGCGACGAUCGAUAGCUGGUCUGAGAGGAUGAUCAGCCACACUGGGACUGAGACACGGCCCAGACUCCUACGGGAGGCAGCAGUGGGGAAUAUUGGACAAUGGGGGAAACCCUGAUCCAGCAAUGCCGCGUGCGUGAAGAAGGCCUUAGGGUUGUAAAGCGCUUUCAGGGGGGAAGAUAAUGACUGUACCCCCAGAAGAAGCCCCGGCUAACUCCGUG